Molecule: long non-coding RNA, 289 nt
Filed under: Zostera marina
Lineage: Eukaryota; Viridiplantae; Streptophyta; Magnoliopsida; Alismatales; Zosteraceae
Description: long non-coding RNA (ZMAR_LNC002742)
Source: RNAcentral
UCCCCCUCAUCCAUGAUGCCCAGAUCGAGUCAUCUGCCGACCAUAUUCUACCCAACCUUAUCAUCCUCGCCGCUUCAGCGGACUCUCUGAAGCACCUCAAUCCCAUUCCACCCUCCUUUUUGGGAAGGGUCAUCUGGGUCCAUCGGACAUCUUGCUUCCCACUCCACAUAUAUCUGUAGGAGAUGGAUCUCAAUUCUUCAAGGGUAUCCGCCGGGAGUCUGCUCGACAUAUUCCAGAAAUUGAAUAUGCCCAUUAUACCCCGGUGAUACAGCUGAACCCUGCCCGCAUG